This 258-nucleotide ribosomal RNA is filed under the name uncultured prokaryote. RNAcentral describes it as "partial 16S ribosomal RNA". It matches the Rfam family "Bacterial small subunit ribosomal RNA", at positions 524 to 780 of the family's 1533-position model. The record is from RNAcentral.
UACGGAGGAUCCGAGCGUUAUCCGGAUUUAUUGGGUUUAAAGGGUGCGCAGGUUGUUUGAUAAGUCAGUGGUGAAAGUCUGUCGCUUAACGGUAGGAUUGCCAUUGAUACUGUUGGACUUGAAUAUGGAUGAGGUAGGCGGAAUGUGUAGUGUAGCGGUGAAAUGCAUAGAUAUUACACAGAACACCGAUUGCGAAGGCAGCUUACUAAUCCAUCAUUGACGCUGAGGCACGAAAGCGUGGGGAGUCAAACAGGAUUA